AUACGUAGGGUGCAAGCGUUAAUCGGAAUUACUGGGCGUAAAGCGUGCGCAGGCGGUUUUGUAAGACAGAGGUGAAAUCCCCGGGCUCAACCUGGGAACUGCCUUUGUGACUGCAAGGCUAGAGUACGGCAGAGGGGGAUGGAAUUUCGCGUGUAGCAGUGAAAUGGGUAGAUAAGCGGAGGAACACCGAUGGCGAAGGCAAUCCCCUGGGCCAGUGCGGACGCUCAUGCACGAAAGCGUGGGGGGCAAACAGGAUUAGAUACCCUGGUAGUCCACGCCCUAAACGAUGUCAACUGGUUGUUGGGUCUUCAUUGACUCAGUAACGAAGCUAACGCGUGAAGUUGAACGCCUGGGGAGUACGGCCGCAAGGUUGAAACUCAAAUGAAUUGACGGGG
This 395-nucleotide ribosomal RNA is filed under the name uncultured bacterium. RNAcentral's name for it is "partial 16S ribosomal RNA". It matches the Rfam family "Bacterial small subunit ribosomal RNA", at positions 523 to 918 of the family's 1533-position model. The record is from RNAcentral.